AGCUGAGAGGUUUUCCUGCAGGUUGUGGUCCUAAACACCAAAAUAACAUCCACAUUGUAAACCACCCCGACGUAGAGUGAACACAGAGGUUAGCAGUGGGGCAGACGUAGACCAGAGGUAGAAAGAUGUAGACCAGAGGUAGACCAGAGGUAGACCAGAGGUAGACAGAGGUAGACAGAGGUAGACCAGAGGUAGACAGAGGUAGACUAGAGGUAGACCAGAAGUAGACAGAGGUAGACAGAGGUAGACCAGAGGUAGACCAGAGGUAGACAGAGGUAGACAGAGAUACAACAGAUGUAGACCAGAGGUAGACCAGAGGUAGACAGAGGUACAACAGAGGUAGAACAGAUGUAGACAGAGGUAGACCAGAGGUAGACCAGAGAUAGACCAGAGGUAGACAGAGGUACAACAGAGGUAGAACAGAUGUAGACAGAGGUAGACCAGAGGUAGACCAGAGAUAGACCAGAGGUAGACAGAGGUAGACUAGAGGUAGACCAGAAGUAGACAGAGGUAGACAGAGGUAGACCAGAGGUAGACCAGAGGUAGACAGAGGUAGACAGAGAUACAACAGAUGUAGACCAGAGGUAGACCAGAGGUAGACAGAGGUACAACAGAGGUAGAACAGAUGUAGACAGAGGUAGACCAGAGGUAGACCAGAGAUAGACCAGAGGUAGACAGAGGUAGACUAGAGGUAGACCAGAAGUAGACAGAGGUAGACAGAGAUACAACAGAUGUAGACCAGAGGUAGACCAGAGGUAGACCAGAGGUAGACAGAGGUACAACAGAGGUAGAACAGAUGUAGACAGAGGUAGACCAGAGGUAGACCAGAGAUAGACCAGAGGUAGACAGAGGUACAACAGAGGUAGAACAGAUGUAGACAGAGGUAGACCAGAGGUAGACCAGAGAUAGACCAGAGGUAGACAGAGGUAGACCAGAGAUAGACCAGAGGUAGACAGAGGUAGACCAGAGGUAGACCAGAGGUA
Dicentrarchus labrax (European seabass) is the source of this 983-nucleotide long non-coding RNA. RefSeq lists it as uncharacterized. The transcript has 9 exons. The record is from RefSeq and is a predicted model, not a curated record. Lineage: Eukaryota; Metazoa; Chordata; Actinopteri; Moronidae.